Molecule: ribosomal RNA, 279 nt
Filed under: uncultured bacterium
Lineage: Bacteria
Description: partial 16S ribosomal RNA
Rfam family: Bacterial small subunit ribosomal RNA
Source: RNAcentral
UGCCAGCAGCCGCGGUAAUACAGAGGGUGCGAGCGUUAAUCGGAUUUACUGGGCGUAAAGCGUGCGUAGGCGGCUAAUUGAGUCGGAUGUGAAAUCCCCGAGCUUAACUUGGGAAUUGCAUUCGAUACUGGUUAGCUAGAGUGUGGGAGAGGAUGGUAGAAUUCCAGGUGUAGCGGUGAAAUGCGUAGAGAUCUGGAGGAAUACCGAUGGCGAAGGCAGCCAUCUGGCCUAACACUGACGCUGAGGUACGAAAGCAUGGGGAGCAAACAGGAUUAGAUA